RNAcentral lists this ribosomal RNA (441 nucleotides) under uncultured bacterium. RNAcentral's name for it is "partial 16S ribosomal RNA". It matches the Rfam family "Bacterial small subunit ribosomal RNA", at positions 338 to 795 of the family's 1533-position model. The record is from RNAcentral.
CCUACGGGAGGCUGCAGUGGGGGAUAUUGCACAAUGGGGGGAACCCUGAUGCAGCGACGCCGCGUGGGUGAAGGAGUGCUUCGGCAUGUAAAGCACUAUCGGCAGGGAAGAAGGAAGACGGUACCUGACUAAGAAGCCCCGGCUAACUACGUGGCAGCAGCCGCGGUAAUACGUAGGGGGCGAGCGUUAGCCGGAUGCACUGGGGGUAAAGGGAGCGUAGACGGCCAGGCAAGCCAGGUGUGAAAGCCCCGGGCCCAACCCCGGGACUGCCCUUGGAACUGGAUGGCUGGAGUGCGGGAGGGGCAGGUGGAAUUCCAGGUGUAGCGGUGAAAUGCGUAGAUAUCAGGAGGAACACCGGCGGCGAAGGCGGCCUGCUGGACCGAGACUGACGUUGAGGCUCGAAAGCGUGGGGAGCGAACAGGAUUAGAUACCCUAGUAGUC